This 429-nucleotide ribosomal RNA is filed under the name Gemmatimonadota bacterium. RNAcentral's name for it is "Gemmatimonadetes bacterium partial 16S ribosomal RNA". It matches the Rfam family "Bacterial small subunit ribosomal RNA", at positions 355 to 776 of the family's 1533-position model. Lineage: Bacteria; Pseudomonadati; Gemmatimonadota. The record is from RNAcentral.
UAGGGAAUCUUCGGCAAUGGACGAAAGUCUGACCGAGCAACGCCGCGUGAGUGAAGAAGGUUUUCGGAUCGUAAAACUCUGUUGUUAGAGAAGAACAAGGACGUUAGUAACUGAACGUCCCCUGACGGUAUCUAACCAGAAAGCCACGGCUAACUACGUGCCAGCCGCCGCGGUAAUACGUAGGUGGCAAGCGUUGUCCGGAUUUAUUGGGCGUAAAGCGAGCGCAGGCGGUUUCUUAAGUCUGAUGUGAAAGCCCCCGGCUCAACCGGGGAGGGUCAUUGGAAACUGGGAGACUUGAGUGCAGAAGAGGAGAGUGGAAUUCCAUGUGUAGCGGUGAAAUGCGUAGAUAUAUGGAGGAACACCAGUGGCGAAGGCGGCUCUCUGGUCUGUAACUGACGCUGAGGCUCGAAAGCGUGGGGAGCAAACAGG